AGGUCUUUAGUGUAGUGGUAACACGCUAGACUCCAAAUCUAGAAACAAGAGUUCGAUUCUUUUAAGACCUGCCA
Molecule: transfer RNA, 74 nt
Filed under: Bacteriophage sp.
Description: tRNA-Trp
Rfam family: tRNA
About the family: Transfer RNA (tRNA) molecules are approximately 80 nucleotides in length. Their secondary structure includes four short double-helical elements and three loops (D, anti-codon, and T loops). Further hydrogen bonds mediate the characteristic L-shaped molecular structure. tRNAs have two regions of fundamental functional importance: the anti-codon, which is responsible for specific mRNA codon recognition, and the 3' end, to which the tRNAs corresponding amino acid is attached (by aminoacyl-tRNA synthetases). tRNAs cope with the degeneracy of the genetic code in two manners: having more than one tRNA (with a specific anti-codon) for a particular amino acid; and 'wobble' base-pairing, i.e. permitting non-standard base-pairing at the 3rd anti-codon position.
Source: RNAcentral